Molecule: ribosomal RNA, 507 nt
Filed under: uncultured archaeon
Lineage: Archaea
Description: bacterial SSU rRNA
Rfam family: Archaeal small subunit ribosomal RNA
Source: RNAcentral
UACCAGCUCUCCGAGUGGUGUGGAUGUUUAUUGGGCCUAAAGCAUCCGUAGCUGGCUAAGUCAGUCCCUUGUUAAAUCCACCGAAUUAAUCGUUGGAUUGCGGGGGAUACUGCUUGGCUAGGGGACGAGAGAGGCAGACGGUAUUUCCGGGGUAGGGGUGAAAUCCUAUAAUCCCGGGAAGACCACCAGUGGCGAAGGCUGUCUGCUAGAACGCGCCCGACGGUGAGGGAUGAAAGCUGGGGGAGCGAACCGGAUUAGAUACCCGGGUAGUCCCAGCUGUAAACGAUGCAGGCUAGGUGUUUGGACGGCCACGUGCCGUUCUAGUGCCGCAGGGAAGCUGUUAAGCCUGCCGCCUGGGGAGUACGAUCGCAAGAUUGAAACUUAAAGGAAUUGGCGGGGGAGCACCACAAGGGGUGAAGCUUGCGGUUUAAUUGGAGUCAACGCCGGAAAUCUCACCGGGAGCGACAGCAGUGUGAAGGCCAGAUUAAAGGUCUUGCCAGACGAGCU